This 254-nucleotide ribosomal RNA is filed under the name uncultured bacterium. Its description in RNAcentral is "partial 16S ribosomal RNA". It matches the Rfam family "Bacterial small subunit ribosomal RNA", at positions 524 to 776 of the family's 1533-position model. The record is from RNAcentral.
UACGGAGGGGGCUAGCGUUGUUCGGAAUUACUGGGCGUAAAGGGCGCGCAGGCGGCUGCUCAAGUCAGGCGUGAAAGGCCUGGGCUCAACCCGGGAAUUGCGCUUGAGACUGGGCUGGCUUGAGUGCGGGAGAGGAUGGUGGAAUUCCCAGUGUAGAGGUGAAAUUCGUAGAUAUUGGGAAGAAUACCGGUGGCGAAGGCGGCCAUCUGGACCGUAACUGACGCUGAGGCGCGAAAGCUUGGGGAGCAAUCAGG